RNAcentral lists this ribosomal RNA (294 nucleotides) under uncultured Pseudomonas sp. RNAcentral describes it as "partial 16S ribosomal RNA". It matches the Rfam family "Bacterial small subunit ribosomal RNA", at positions 355 to 641 of the family's 1533-position model. Lineage: Bacteria; Pseudomonadati; Pseudomonadota; Gammaproteobacteria; Pseudomonadales; Pseudomonadaceae. The record is from RNAcentral.
UGGGGAAUAUUGGACAAUGGGCGAAAGCCUGAUCCAGCCAUGCCGCGUGUGUGAAGAAGGUCUUCGGAUUGUAAAGCACUUUAAGUUGGGAGGAAGGGCAUUAACCUAAUACGUUAGUGUUUUGACGUUACCGACAGAAUAAGCACCGGCUAACUCUGUGCCAGCAGCCGCGGUAAUACAGAGGGUGCAAGCGUUAAUCGGAAUUACUGGGCGUAAAGCGCGCGUAGGUGGUUUGUUAAGUUGGAUGUGAAAGCCCCGGGCUCAACCUGGGAACUGCAUUCAAAACUGACAAGC